AAACAAUUUCAGCAACGGACUUUGAACGCAAGUUGCGCCCGAGGCUUGUCCAAGGGCAUUUCCGCUAGAGCGUCACC
RNAcentral lists this ribosomal RNA (77 nucleotides) under Helodium blandowii. Its description in RNAcentral is "5.8S ribosomal RNA". Lineage: Eukaryota; Viridiplantae; Streptophyta; Bryopsida; Hypnales; Helodiaceae. The record is from RNAcentral.